CUACGUGCCAGCAGCCGCGGUAAUACGGAAGGUCCGGGCGUUAUCCGGAUUURUUGGGUUUAAAGGGAGCGUAGGCCGGAGAUUAAGUGUGUUGUGAAAUGUAGACGCUCAACGUCUGACUUGCAGCGCAUACUGGUUUCCUUGAGUACGCACAACGUUGGCGGAAUUCGUCGUGUAGCGGUGAAAUGCUUAGAUAUGACGAAGAACUCCGAUUGCGAAGGCAGCUUACGGGAGCACAACUGACGCUGAAGCUCGAAGGUGCGGGUAUCAAACAGGAUUAGAUACCCUGGUAGUCCGCACAGUAAACGAUGGAUGCCCGUUGUUAGUUCACUUAUGAAUUAGCGACCAAGCGAAAGCAUUAAGCAUCCCACCUGGGGAGUACGCCGGCAACGGUGAAACUCAAAGGAAUUGACGGGGGCCCGCACAAGCGGAGGAACAUGUGGUUUAAUUCGAUGAUACGCGAGGAACCUUACCCGGGCUUGAA
RNAcentral lists this ribosomal RNA (484 nucleotides) under uncultured bacterium. Its description in RNAcentral is "bacterial SSU rRNA". It matches the Rfam family "Bacterial small subunit ribosomal RNA", at positions 501 to 985 of the family's 1533-position model. The record is from RNAcentral.